UUUACUGUGGUGUAUAGCACAUAAGGUUUUGAGCCUUAAAGAAUAAUUACGUCGGUAAAG
This 60-nucleotide transfer RNA is filed under the name Imerinia grandidieri. RNAcentral's name for it is "tRNA-Gln". Lineage: Eukaryota; Metazoa; Mollusca; Gastropoda; Systellommatophora; Veronicellidae. The record is from RNAcentral.